This is a long non-coding RNA of Pseudophryne corroboree (corroboree frog), 402 nucleotides long. RefSeq lists it as uncharacterized. Lineage: Eukaryota; Metazoa; Chordata; Amphibia; Anura; Myobatrachidae. The transcript has 4 exons. The record is from RefSeq and is a predicted model, not a curated record.
CUCCUAUGUGAUGCAUUCCAUGAUGGCCCGCGAUUGGACCAUAUGUUUACUAUAACCCCGCCCCCAGGAUCAGUCAUUGGCUGACAGCAAUUAUAGGGGUCUUUAAAUACUCAGAAAUGUCCAGAGACAAACAACCUUCCGCCCAUGCUUCAAAAGAAUCCUUGGGCAGUGGAGAGGAGUGGGACCCAACCCAGGAGGAAGAUAUGGAUAGUCAACAGAGACCAUCCAAACAACGUGGACACAGGUCAUCCAAGAAGAGGCCAAGCCAGGCAUGGUUCCCAAUGAUUGGCGUAUAGCUGAAGUUGUGCCGAUAUUCAAAAAGGGAAGUAAAUCUGAAUUGGGUAAUUAUAGACCAGUAUUCUACAAAAAGAAAAACCUAAUGGACUAAGAAGGUCAAGAAAC